GCAAGUCGAACGAGAAAGUUCCUUCGGGGAUGAGUAGAGUGGCGCACGGGUGAGUAACACGUAGGUGACCUACCUUUUAGUUGGGGACAACAGGGAGAAAUUCCUGCUAAUACCGAAUGUGGUCUGUAAUUUUGGAAGUAACAGACUGAAGGUGCCCUCUGUAUAUGGUACCGCUAAAAGAUGGGCCUGCGGGACAUUAGCUUGUUGGUGGGGUAAUGGCCUACCAAGGCGAUGAUGUCUAGCUGGUCUGAGAGGAUGAUC
RNAcentral lists this ribosomal RNA (261 nucleotides) under uncultured bacterium. RNAcentral describes it as "partial 16S ribosomal RNA". It matches the Rfam family "Bacterial small subunit ribosomal RNA", at positions 57 to 305 of the family's 1533-position model. The record is from RNAcentral.